AUUGAACGCUGGCGGCAGGCCUAAUACAUGCAAGUCGAACGAGUGGCGGACGGGUGAGUAAUGUCUGGGAACCUGCCCGAUGGAGGGGUAUAACUACUGGAAACGGUAGCUAAUACCGCAUACCAUCGGAUGUGCCCAGAGGGGAUUAGCUAGUGGGGGGGGUAACGGAUGACCAAGGCGACGAUGCCUAGCUGGUCUGCGAGGGUGACCGGCCACACUGGAACUGAGACACGGCCCAGACGCCGACGGGAGGCAGCAGUGGGGAAUAUUGGACAAUGGGCGGAAGCCUGAUGGAGCCAUGCCGCGUGUAUGAAGAAGGCCUUCGGGUUGUAAAGUACUUUGGGCGGGGAGGCGUUACUCGCAGAGAAAGCCCCGGCUAACUCCGUGCCAGCAGCCGCGGUAAUAC
Molecule: ribosomal RNA, 406 nt
Filed under: uncultured bacterium
Lineage: Bacteria
Description: partial 16S ribosomal RNA
Rfam family: Bacterial small subunit ribosomal RNA
Source: RNAcentral